GACGAACGCUGGCGGCGCGCUUAACACAUGCAAGUCGAGCGGUAAGGCCCUUUCGGGGGUACACGAGCGGCGAACGGGUGAGUAACACGUGGGUGACCUGCCCUCAGCUCUGGGAUAAGCCCGGGAACUGGGUCUAAUACUGGAUAUUACUCUGCGGUGCAUGCCGUGGGGUGAAAGCCUUGUGCGGCUGGGGAUGGGCCCGNGGCCUAUCAGCUU
RNAcentral lists this ribosomal RNA (216 nucleotides) under uncultured bacterium. RNAcentral describes it as "partial 16S ribosomal RNA". It matches the Rfam family "Bacterial small subunit ribosomal RNA", at positions 28 to 247 of the family's 1533-position model. The record is from RNAcentral.